ACCUUAAUCAAAGUAGCUUUUGACAAAGAGUUGGAUCUAAUAUUAGUUUCCAGAGAAAAACUAUCAAGACCAAAGAUAUGUAUCACAUAAAUCAAAAUUCGAAAUAUCUUGUAAUUUAACAAAGUUAUGAUAAAAAUUGUUACAACCUAUUAAAAAUUUGAGGUUUAUGUAAGUUAUCCAAUAAAUUAUGCAAAUUUCAAAAACAUACCUAAACUAUAUAGAAAAAAUUGCACAAACAAUAAUUUCAAUGAAAUCUAGGCGAGUAACAACCAACAAAAUAAUAGUGGGCACCCUUUUUGGAUCCUAAACUUGUUUUAACUGCAUAGAUGAGAACACUAGGGUAUAAUAUGAUUCAAUUCUCGGCAUGAAUCACUCCUACUUUCUAUUUCUUCGCUUGAUUAUUAUUCGAAGUAGAGAUUUGUUGAUAUGAUUAUAUUGUUUCUAAUAGUGGUCACCCCUUUUGAAUCUUGCAGUUGCCAACAAUCUUGUUUUAACCGCACAGAUGAGAACACCAGAGUACAACAUGAUUUAAUUCUCGGCAUGAAUCACUCAUACUUCCUAUUUCUUCGCUUAAUUACUAUUCGGAGUAGAAAUUUAUUCAUAUGAUUUUAUUAUUUCUAAUAGUGGUCACCCCUUUUGGAUCCUACAGUUACCAACAAUCUUGUUUUAACCGCACAGAUGAGAACACCAUGGUACAACAUGAUUCAAUUCUCGCACAAAUAAAAAUAAAAAUGUUAAAUGAUUUCUUUUAAUCCGCUGAGUAUUGCUGGAUAGAGGGAAUCAAUUUUUUAGUUUAUAAGUCUUUUUUUCCUUUAAAUACAUAAAACACAUCGCAAACUAUUGUGUUAGACAAACCUCUCUACCCCUGGUCCCUUAUUCUAUUAGCUAAACCAAAAUCAACAGCUCUACACUUGCUAUAAACUCAUUCGGAUUUGAUGCAUCUUGGAAAUUCUUAUCAAACAAAAAAAUCCUAACCAACUAAUCAACAGAUAUUAAAGUACCAAAAAAAAUACCACAUAUUCACAAAAAACUGCAUCAAUUGACAUGCACCAACUCUUUGGAUUUUUCCUUAUUUUUUUCUUUCUGGAAGGGCUUUUAUCUGAAUUUUUGGUGUAAUGCAUUGGAAGAAAAUUUUUGUCGUUAUCUUCAAAACUGAUACAAAGACCUGAUUUUUUUAAAUUUAUUUUCAGCAAAGAAAAGAUAAAAUUCAUUACAUGUAUGUAAAAAACAAAAAGAAUAAAACUAUUUUUUUUAAUGUUUUUUGCGAGUUUUUGUUAUUUUGCUUCUAAUGGUUCAAUUAGUAAAAAUCCCCCAUCUUUUAAGUGCUAAAGUAGAGACCCCAAAUAUAAAUUAACCAAAUCAAUUAAAGUGUCAUUAAAGAAAAAUUAAAAUUAAAAAAGUUAAAGCAAAAACACGAAGAAAUUGAUGCAAAAUUAUAUACACCCAUUUUCCCCCAAUUAAGACAAUCAAAUCAAGAAAACCCAGCAAAUAGUAGCUUGGAAAUGCAAAAUCGGAUAUCAAAAACACAAAACCCUCAUACUAAAUUGCUAGGCGCAGUUCUACUGAAAUAGAAAACACAAAAUUCGCAUACCUUUAUUAGUUGAAUGGUUGUAGUUGAAAGAAGAGCAAGCCAAACAAAGAAAGUGUAGAAUAUGAAAGAAAUAAUAAUAUGUGGAAGCACAUAUUUAUAAUCUGUGUAGAAUAACAGAAAAUGAUAGGAGGAUUCAUCUUCAGUGUAGAAGUAUUGGAAGGAAGAAGAAGAGGAAACAACUUUGGAGUCUCCAUCGCUUUACACAUCAGACCUUAACACGUCGUGAAGCCCAACAGCAGUAAAGUGGCACUCAUUGAGGUAGUAUGAAAAGACUAAAAUUCCCUUAGUGAGUGAAAUAGGCAUGUUGAAAUUUGCUCACUUCUAAUAUAUAUAUAUAUAUAU
This 1933-nucleotide long non-coding RNA is filed under the name Capsicum annuum. RNAcentral describes it as "long non-coding RNA (CANN_LNC001450)". Lineage: Eukaryota; Viridiplantae; Streptophyta; Magnoliopsida; Solanales; Solanaceae. The record is from RNAcentral.